CCUCCAUUCACUUAUGAUAGAUAUAUUUGCAUAUGGCACAAUGACCAAGGACACCAAGUGUGCUUAUCAAUCGAAUUAAUCACAUUAGCCAUCUCAACCCACAUUCAAAACCAAGGGCUCCUCGUUUCUGCAGCCCACCGUGAAAACCAACGGACUGCUGCCGCCAAUUCUCUUCCACGCCAAAAAGUUUUUCUGCGCGCCAUGUUUUUUCCUCGCUGGCGCUAAUUCCUUUCAUCCGCAGCUCAAUUUUUUUGCCAUCUCCCGAUCAAAACGAUGCGCCCUAUGCCUAGGCUUCCAAUUUCUGUCUUCCGCCUAUUUUUUCUCUUCCACCCGCGCCAAAUCCUUCUCCUCUCCGUUUGAUUUUUUUGGCAUCGCAAGAUGAAAACGGCGCGCCCUAAUGCCCGGGCUUCCCUUCAAAACUUGAGAAAUGCAUCUAUAAAUACUCCACCAUGGAUUAGAAGCAGUCUGCAACUUUUCCCCUGCCUUCUUCUAGCCUCGACCAAUUUCAGUACCAAUGAUGCCCGAUGGGUUAGACCUCAAUGCCGAACCUCCUAUAGACUGGGAUGAAAUUAGUGAGUGGGAAGGGCAUGCAUAUGAACUCGAUUAUGACUUGGUGUGGACUGAUGAAGGUGCCUCGCAAGAAGAGCAGUCUGGUGGUAAUGGAGAAGGUGGUGGACGUGCAAGAGCUGCUGGACAACGGAGAGCCAACGUAGCUGCUGGUGAUGGGUCUGCUGGACAACAACGAUCUGACGAAGCUGCCGGGGCUGUUGGACAUGCAAGAGCUGAUGGAGGACCUACUGGACAUGAUGGAGCUACUGACGAUGGAAUAGCUGCAGCAGGUUUUGUCCCUGCUGCUGAUGGAGAAGGCACUGGACAAGGAUUAAAUAUAUCGAUCAUAUAUGAAUUUUUCAAUUUUGGUAAUAUAUCUAUCAUAAAUGAAUGGAGGGAGUAGAUGAGUGCAGAAAAACUGAGUAUAGAGGAGAGAAUAUCGAUGAUCAGACUAGAAAUAUUUUUUUAGGGAAGAAAAAUAGUGGAGGAUGAUAUUUGAUCUUAAGCACCCUUCAACAGCGCGUACUACGGUCCAUUCAUUUGCGUGCUUUAUGACGACAGUUGCGACAAGUGGAGUAGGUUCUUUCGCACAACGACGGCCAUGCGCAGCCGACGGUCGCACCGAAUCUCCACCCAGGGCCCAGCAGCAGCGACACAACGCCGCCGAAAAGGACCAUCCACCUGCUGGAAGCGGAAGCGGAAGCGGAGCCUUCGAUUCGAAGCCAGCCCAGCCCGAUCCCGACCGCGUCCGGUCCGAGCCGUCGUCGCCACGGGCCCGGCCUACUACAAACGCCAAGGCCGAACCGGCCACGGCAACCGCAAGGCCUGCAGCGACCGAACCUCCACCACCCGCACACGCGCACCACCGCGCGUCCGCGCACGAGCCCCACCCACCACCACCACCGCACCGCAGCGAGCCGACGGGGAGGAGGGAGCGGGAGCACCCCGGUCGUCGCGGACGGAGAUGAGGGGCGGAUCCAGACCGACACCGGCCGCCGUGUUCUUCCUCGCCGCCGCCGGGAUCUGCGCCCAGUUCGCCGCAGUGCUAGCUGGUGAUUCCAAGGAUGAUAAGAAAGCUGAAGCUCAGCCAAAGGGUCAUACUGGCAAAACAGUUUUGUUCGCCCUCCUAGGUGUUGGGGCUGUCAUUCUGUUGUCAUUUUUCAUUUUCAAGUAUUGGCAGAAGAAGAAAAGGGAGGAACAACAUGCACGUCUGCUAAAGCUAUUUGAAGAGGACGACGAUAUUGAAGUCGAGCUUGGUCUUAGAGAUUGAUAAUCUUCAAUGUACAGCAAGAGUAUCUUGGCUGACAAGGUAAUUCCUAGGGCACCAUAAAUUGUAUUAUGAAAAGUAUCACAAUCCUGGUACAGUUUCAUUUUCAAAUUUAAAAUACGAAUUUAUAAAAUUGUCCA
This is an RNA transcript of Panicum virgatum (switchgrass), 1956 nucleotides long. RefSeq lists it as uncharacterized. The record is from RefSeq and is a predicted model, not a curated record. The transcript has 5 exons. Lineage: Eukaryota; Viridiplantae; Streptophyta; Magnoliopsida; Poales; Poaceae.